GCCAGCAUGGUGUAGUGGUUUGAAUGUUGGACUAUGGCUCUAGAGACCAGGGUUCAAUUCCCAGCUUGGCC
Phrynosoma platyrhinos (Desert horned lizard) is the source of this 71-nucleotide non-coding RNA. The record is from the annotation of a GenBank genome assembly. NCBI's taxonomy places the organism in Eukaryota, Metazoa, Chordata, Lepidosauria, Squamata, Phrynosomatidae.